RNAcentral lists this non-coding RNA (31 nucleotides) under Mus musculus (house mouse). The record is from RNAcentral. Lineage: Eukaryota; Metazoa; Chordata; Mammalia; Rodentia; Muridae.
UAAUGGAGCCAAGAUGAUUCACUGUUCAAGU